This 254-nucleotide ribosomal RNA is filed under the name uncultured bacterium. RNAcentral describes it as "partial 16S ribosomal RNA". It matches the Rfam family "Bacterial small subunit ribosomal RNA", at positions 524 to 776 of the family's 1533-position model. The record is from RNAcentral.
UACGAACCGUGCGAACGUUAUUCGGAAUCACUGGGCUUAAAGCGCGUGUAGGCGGGACGGCACGUCGGUCGCUGAAAUCCCCCGGCUUAACCGGGGAACGGGCGUCGAUACGACCGUCCUGGAGGGGCGUAGGGGGACCUGGAACUUCCGGUGGAGCGGUGAAAUGCGUUGAGAUCGGAAGGAACGCCCGUGGCGAAAGCGAGGUCCUGGACGCCUACUGACGCUGAGACGCGAAAGCCAGGGGAGCGAACGGG